This 414-nucleotide long non-coding RNA is filed under the name Heterocephalus glaber (naked mole-rat). Its description in RNAcentral is "lncRNA (ENSHGLG00100051625.1)". Lineage: Eukaryota; Metazoa; Chordata; Mammalia; Rodentia; Bathyergidae. The record is from RNAcentral.
AGGCACCAAUGCAGGCCCAGACAACAGCUCACAACUUCCUCCAUUAACCUCAUACAACUCACUUUCUGCUCUCUUUUAAAAUUAUUGGUAUCAAUGUUUGGACCUUUCAGGAAUUCAUGGAGGUUUUUCUCAAUGAUUGCACAGCAGGGUCAUCCAGAGAACUUUCAAAAAUCCAGAUGCCAACACUGCACCUCAGUGGACCUUGGGAAGACACACAAAUGAAGUCCAUCUUUCACUGCUUUCUAGAAUGCUGCCUGCUGCACUUGCUCAGGAUGAAGUAAAUGUCAACCUGAAUUGCACUGGAACAGAUACAUAUUGAAAUUGAAGAUGCUAUACAUUGUAAACGCGCUCCAAAUUUCCUGAUACUGUAUAAGUAAAGGUGUGAUGAGAAAGGCUAUAAAUAACAAACAAAAG